UUCUCCAUGGUGGAAUGGUAGACACACAUGAUUCAAAAUCAUGCGCUUUAAGCGUGCCGGUUCAAGUCCGGUUGGGGAUA
This 80-nucleotide transfer RNA is filed under the name Monomorphina parapyrum. RNAcentral describes it as "tRNA-Leu". It matches the Rfam family "tRNA". Rfam says of the family: Transfer RNA (tRNA) molecules are approximately 80 nucleotides in length. Their secondary structure includes four short double-helical elements and three loops (D, anti-codon, and T loops). The record is from RNAcentral. Lineage: Eukaryota; Euglenozoa; Euglenophyceae; Euglenales; Euglenaceae.